ACAACUUUCAUCAACGGAUCUCUUGGUUCUGGCAUCGAUGAAGAACGCAGCGAAAUGCGAUAAGUAGUGUGAAUUGCAGAAUUCAGUGAAUCAUCGAAUCUUUGAACGCACAUUGCGCCCCUUGGUAUUCCAUGGGGCAUGCCUGUUCGAGCGUCAUU
RNAcentral lists this ribosomal RNA (158 nucleotides) under Juncaceicola alpina. RNAcentral's name for it is "5.8S ribosomal RNA". It matches the Rfam family "5.8S ribosomal RNA". Rfam says of the family: 5.8S ribosomal RNA (5.8S rRNA) is a component of the large subunit of the eukaryotic ribosome. It is transcribed by RNA polymerase I as part of the 45S precursor that also contains 18S and 28S rRNA. The record is from RNAcentral. Lineage: Eukaryota; Fungi; Ascomycota; Dothideomycetes; Pleosporales; Phaeosphaeriaceae.